CCUUAUACGUUACUAGCACAUGCAGUGCACGUUAAGAACAAUAGUCUUUUGUUCUGUUCUGUUUAUAAAAAGAAGAAAAAGCAUCCAGAACAAUGGGUGAGAAGAAACAAAAACCUGUCGCCUAAAUCAAGGGAUUGGUAUUCUCCAAAUCAUUGCUACCGCAUUGAGCCAUUUUCUCUGAUUCAGGCUGCCCCUGCUGAAUUUUAGAGAGCGUCAAAACUUAUUGGUUAAAGGGAUGCCUUUAUGAGUAAAACAUGAGAAAUAUUCACUUACUAGGUAAGCAAUUUGUAAGGACUGGAAGUAGAAAUUAAGCAACCAAGACAAG
This 325-nucleotide long non-coding RNA is filed under the name Homo sapiens (human). Its description in RNAcentral is "HSALNT0321438". The record is from RNAcentral. Lineage: Eukaryota; Metazoa; Chordata; Mammalia; Primates; Hominidae.